Molecule: ribosomal RNA, 467 nt
Filed under: uncultured bacterium
Lineage: Bacteria
Description: partial 16S ribosomal RNA
Rfam family: Bacterial small subunit ribosomal RNA
Source: RNAcentral
GACGAACGCUGGCGGCGUGCUUAACACAUGCAAGUCGAACGGAAAGGCCCUGCUUUUGUGGGGUGCUCGAGUGGCGAACGGGUGAGUAACACGUGAGUAACCUGCCCUUGACUUUGGGAUAACUUCAGGAAACUGGGGCUAAUACCGGAUAGGAGCUCCUGCUGCAUGGUGGGGGUUGGAAAGUUUCGGCGGCUGGGGAUGGACUCGCGGCUUAUCAGCUUGUUGGUGGGGUAGUGGCUUACCAAGGCUUUGACGGGUAGCCGGCCUGAGAGGGUGACCGGCCACAUUGGGACUGGGAUACGGCCCAGACUCCUACGGGAGGCAGCAGUGGGGAAUAUUGCACAAUGGGCGGAAGCCUGAUGCAGCAACGCCGCGUGCGGGAUGACGGCCUUCGGGUUGUAAACCGCUUUCGCCUGUGACGAAGCGUGAGUGACGGUAAUGGGUAAAGAAGCACCGGCUAACUACGU